AUGCCUUAAACUUAUGAGUAAGGAAACGAAUGAUUUGGGGUCAUGCCCGAAUCCUCACUGCUAAUGUAAGAUGAAUUUUUAAGAUGGUAAAGGUUUUCCCUAAGGCCUAUAUUGCAGGAUGCCUGGGAAUCACAAUUUGCCCG
Small nuclear RNA from Suricata suricatta (meerkat), 143 nucleotides. Its record names the gene U12. It matches the Rfam family "U12 minor spliceosomal RNA". From Rfam's summary of the family: Although the U12 sequence is very divergent from that of U2, the two are functionally analogous. The record is from Ensembl. Lineage: Eukaryota; Metazoa; Chordata; Mammalia; Carnivora; Herpestidae.